UUUUUUUUUUUUUUUGCACUUUUAGUAGAGACGGGGUUUCACCGUGUUGGCCAGGCUGGUCUCGAACUCCUGACCUCAUGAUCUGCCUGCCUCGGCCUCCCAAAGUGCUGGGAUUACAGGCGUGAGCCACCGCGCCUGGCCUUGACUAUUUUUAAUAAUACUUGGCGCAAAACACAAACACAUUGUUCAGCUGUUCAGAAACAUUUUCCUUCUUUAUAUGCUUAUACUAUAAACUUUUUUCUAUUUUUAAAUUUUUUUUGUUUGUUUUACUUUUUAAACUUUUUUGUUAAAAACUAAGACACAAACACAUUAGCCUAGGACUACAUAGUGUCUGGAUCAUCCCUAUCACUAUUUUUCACCUUUCAUCUUGUCCCACUUGAAGGUGUUCAAGGAUAAUAGCAUGAACAGAGCUGUCAUCUCAUGACAACAAUGCCUUCUGGAAUACCUCCUGAAGGACCUGCCUGAGGGUAUUUUACAAUUAGCUUUUUUUUUAUAGUAGAAGGAGUACACUGUAAAAUAACAAUAAAAAGUACAGUAUAGUAAAUACACAAACCAGUAACAUAGUUAUUAUCAAGUAUUAUGUACUGCACAUAAUUGUAUGUGCUCUACUUUUAUGUGACUAGCAGCACAGUAGAUUUGUUUACACCAGUGUCACCACAAACAUGGGCAUAAUGCAUUACGCUAUGAUGUUAGAAUGACCCUGACGUCACUAAGCAAUAGGAAUUUUUCAGUUCCGUUGUCAUCUUACGGGACCACCACCAUAUAUGCAAUCUAUAGUAUACAAAGUUUGUCAUUCAGUGCAUUACUGUAUGUUAUUUCUACCCUCUUUCAGAGGCCACCACUUCAUCACCUAGCCUCAUCUAACUACAGGGGAAGCAAUGAAGUAACUUUAACUGUGUGGCCAGAAAGGAAAAGAAAACCAAAUUCUGAUGGACACCUGAUGUUUUUACUAUUCCUAUGAAUGGAUUCCAAGGUUCUAACUGAGAGGGUAGGGAAAGCAGGAAUCAGAGUGGGAAAAUACAUUUAGCAACAUUCUUGAGAUUUUCUUCUUCAACUUGUCAGUGUUCUCAGUUGUGCCCACCCUCAAGCUCCAAAGAUUCUCCCACAAGGUAUUUGGCCAAGGCACUUCAUUUUUCUAGGCCUCAGUUUCCCCAUGUGUUAAAGUGAGGGGUUGAAUUAGGAUAACUUUCAAGUCUUUGGGCCUCUUAGAGAUCCAAAAUCCCAUGAUUCUCUAACUCCUGAUGUUCCCUUCUUCCUGAGACAAAUAAGCAGGACCAGCAUGCCAAUAAUUUAUGUUUUAUUUUAAUUUUCCUUCUCACCUUCAAAGCUUGAGUUUCUAGAUAUUAAAAUAUAACAAUAGACAAAGUUGUUAUGAAUACAGUAGUGACUUUUUAUGGCAGAGUAAAGUUAUUUUGUGUUUGAAUGAACAGCACAUUCACACACGUAUGUAACAUACACAGAGCUGCAUCUGUGAAAAAAUAAUCUUGUUUAAAGUCUUGCAAAACAUAUGUCCUCCUCCUACUCUUGCCCUGUGUUAGUUUUGCAAUUCAUAACAAACAACAGUGAC
Molecule: long non-coding RNA, 1567 nt
Filed under: Macaca fascicularis (crab-eating macaque)
Lineage: Eukaryota; Metazoa; Chordata; Mammalia; Primates; Cercopithecidae
Description: lncRNA (ENSMFAG00000050522.1)
Source: RNAcentral